Long non-coding RNA from Oncorhynchus tshawytscha (Chinook salmon), 1474 nucleotides. NCBI's taxonomy places the organism in Eukaryota, Metazoa, Chordata, Actinopteri, Salmoniformes, Salmonidae. The record is from Ensembl.
GAACCACUGAACAGCACUGUGACUGAACUGACUAAAAAAGGUCUAGGAACCACUGAACAGCACUGUGACUGAACUGACUAAAAAAGGUCUAGGAACCACUGAACAGCACUGUGACUGAACUGACUAAAAAAGGUCUAGGAACCACUGAACAGCACUCCCCCAAUCCAAAUAAACGACAGUUGUUCUAUCGCUCCAAAGAAAUGCUCCCUAGUCAAGAAAUAAAUAUCUCAGCUCUAAAACACCCAAUGCUGAACAUAGAAGGUGAUCAAACAUGGUAUGGGAUCACACUGCUUCCAAACGAAGCUGAAACGGGACACCCAUCAUUGGUCUACUUAUUAAGACUUCCUUGCAGAGACAACAUUUGGGCACCAUGGGUUAUCUUACACCCUUCAUCCUCUCUGUCCCUCUGAGGACAAUACUAUAAAAGCAGGAUCAAUGAGUUAGCCAGCUAACUUGCUUUAACGUUAUGAAAAUAGCUUUAAGCUUGAAAUGGGCAUUGUCUAAUUGACUAAACAACCAAAGACACACAUAUCUAAGUUUAGCUUUUCUUAAAUGAAACAGAAAACCAAUAGUUAUUUCUGGUUAUUUAUCAAAGUUAGAUGGUUAACUAUGGUUAAUUAAAAGAUAGCUGGUUAAUUGAUUCUGCUUUGUAGUACCAAAAUAGUACCGAAACUAUAGCAACGACUGUGUUCCUGUUUUCAGAGUAUUCCGUCUAGUAUGAGAUUAAUCAGUUUUAGAGACUGCUAUGUCAACUCAAGAGUUUGGUACCUGCCAUUGCCAAAAUAACAUGUUGUCCGGCAAUCUGCGCUUUAUCGGCCAGAACACUAUUUUCCUGGGUUUCAAAAAAUCAGUCUUUGUUGGCUUUGAAAAAAAAUGUGCAAUCCUAUUGCUCAUGUUUUUUUUCUUUCAAACAUGUAAUCUCAGCCAAACAGUCCGUGUCGUUUUUUUUUUAGAAAAAUCAAAUCUAUAAGACUAAUGUUCAUGUUUCCUCUCAGCUUUUCCUGGCUGAGGUCUUAUCCAGAGUUUCAUAGCCUCAAGAAACUUCCUGGUUAAAGAAUGUACAUUAAAAUGUGUUUAAAUUCCAGGUAACGGUCAGAGAUUGUUCAGGCCCCCUUGUGGCAGUUCUGGGGUAUGAUCUUUCCUCUUCUUAAAAAGGCUCUUGAGUUUGGACGACUUCGUGCUUUUGUCUUUGUCCUUUUGGUGCCUCUCGCCUCUCAUCUCCGGGGGCAACGUGUUUAGGGACCGGCCGCUCCUCGGGGGCGGAACAGGAGGAUUCCCUUCUCGCUCUCUUCCUUCCAUGAUCCUCUGGGGCAGGUCAGGGGUUGUUGCUGGGGUGAUACAGGACUUCUCCAGAAUACCGUCAUACACAAGUUCGGUCAGGUCGGAGGUAUAAGGGUCAGGGGUCUGGGUUUGUUUCCAUGGUGUGGACAAGGUGAGGUCAGGUUGUCCGAACUGACCCCAAUCCAAAACCUGG